Molecule: ribosomal RNA, 379 nt
Filed under: Eisenia japonica
Lineage: Eukaryota; Metazoa; Annelida; Clitellata; Crassiclitellata; Lumbricidae
Description: partial 16S ribosomal RNA
Rfam family: Bacterial large subunit ribosomal RNA
Source: RNAcentral
AACGGCCGCGGUAUCCUAACCGUGCAAAGGUAGCAUAAUCACUUGCCCAUUAAUUGUGGGCUAGAAUGAAAGGACCAACGAAAUAAAGACUGUCUCUAUAAGUUAAGUAAAAAUUAAUCUCUAACUGAAGAUUGUUAGAUACAAUUGAAGGACAAGAAGACCCUAUAGAGCUUUAUUUUAAUUAAAUAAAUAAAAUUUUAUAAAAUUUGGUUGGGGCGACCAGGGAAAUCAAAUAUCAUCCCUUAUACAUAGAUUACUAAAUCAUACAUUUUGACCCUUAAUAAAGAUCACCAAAUCAAGCUACCUUAGGGAUAACAGGCUAAUUACACUAAAGAGUCCUUAUCAAUAGUGUGGUUUGGCACCUCGAUGUUGGCUUAGG